GCUUAGAUAGCUUAAAAUGAGAGCAAAACAUUGAAGAUGUUGGGGUGAUUAUAUGAAUCUUUAGGCA
Molecule: transfer RNA, 67 nt
Filed under: Niponiella limbatella
Lineage: Eukaryota; Metazoa; Arthropoda; Insecta; Plecoptera; Perlidae
Description: tRNA-Phe
Rfam family: tRNA
About the family: Transfer RNA (tRNA) molecules are approximately 80 nucleotides in length. Their secondary structure includes four short double-helical elements and three loops (D, anti-codon, and T loops).
Source: RNAcentral